RNAcentral lists this ribosomal RNA (253 nucleotides) under uncultured bacterium. RNAcentral describes it as "partial 16S ribosomal RNA". It matches the Rfam family "Bacterial small subunit ribosomal RNA", at positions 524 to 776 of the family's 1533-position model. The record is from RNAcentral.
UACGGAGGAUGCAAGCGUUAUCCGGAAUGAUUGGGCGUAAAGCGUCCGCAGGUGGCUAUGUAAGUCUGCUGUUAAAGGGUCUGGCUCAACCAGAUAAAGGCAGUGGAAACUACAUGGCUAGAGUGCGUUCGGGGCAGAGGGAAUUCCUGGUGUAGCGGUGAAAUGCGUAGAGAUCAGGAAGAACACCGGUGGCGAAAGCGCUCUGCUAGGCCGCAACUGACACUGAGGGACGAAAGCUAGGGGAGCGAAUGGG